RNAcentral lists this long non-coding RNA (333 nucleotides) under Panax ginseng (ginseng). RNAcentral describes it as "long non-coding RNA (PGIN_LNC006512)". The record is from RNAcentral. Lineage: Eukaryota; Viridiplantae; Streptophyta; Magnoliopsida; Apiales; Araliaceae.
UCCAAUUCAUUCUUCUUGGCAAGAUAAACCUCGAAGGCUUUCUCAGGAGUUGAGAAAGUUCCCAGCCAAAUCCGGCGAUUGUCCUUAAUCUCCGAUGAGCCAUUGAAUAAAGAUGUCCGAAUGUUUCUAAUCAUUAUCCACACAAGUAUUCACUACUUUAUCCUGCUGAUAAAGGGGAGGAGAGAUUUCAAUUAUUUAUGUUUUAAGCAUCACCAAACAACAAGGGAAAAAAUGAAUAUAAACUUGGGGAUCCUUACCUCCUUCGGAAAAGGUCACAAAAGCCAACUCCAAUUCGCCUUACUAAAAGAACUAAAGGUAAGUUAUGGAGUUUGG